GCCCUUGUAGCUCAAUGGAUAGAGCAGCGCCGUCCUAAGGCGAGGAUGGGGGUUCGAUUCCCUCUGAGGGCA
Molecule: transfer RNA, 72 nt
Filed under: Candidatus Uhrbacteria bacterium
Lineage: Bacteria; Candidatus Uhriibacteriota
Description: tRNA-Arg
Rfam family: tRNA
About the family: Transfer RNA (tRNA) molecules are approximately 80 nucleotides in length. Their secondary structure includes four short double-helical elements and three loops (D, anti-codon, and T loops).
Source: RNAcentral